Coturnix japonica (Japanese quail) is the source of this 3438-nucleotide long non-coding RNA. RefSeq lists it as uncharacterized. The record is from RefSeq and is a predicted model, not a curated record. Lineage: Eukaryota; Metazoa; Chordata; Aves; Galliformes; Phasianidae.
CAGCAGAGCUUAAGAUCUGAGCUCCAUCACUCCCAGCAUUACUGUCUCAGCCGGAGGAGAGCCCCAAGGGGCGGCUGUUGUGAUACACCACGGGGAGCGCACACCUCACACCUCCAGAAACCUGGAAAUCCCACAAAGCACAGACUGUGAGCAGCAACACAUCAAGUGUAAGUGAGUCAUUCACACCCUGGGCACAAAUCUCACAGCAUUUAUCACAGUGGCAGCGUGCCUGCCAAUAACGGGGGCUGGAUCUCGCUAAACGUCUGUCAGGUUUGUUUGCAGCUCCUUUUCUCAAGGAAACACAUCCUGCUUUUUGCACCACGGGCCUGUGGGACUACAGAGCCAUUGAACAGUUGGGUUGGAAGGGAUUUUAAAGAUGGCAGAACCACAGGAUGGAUUGGGUUUGGGUUUCAGCAAUUCUUUGACACUGAUAAAUCCAGCGCUUGAAGCCUUCCAGCACCAUCCCCUUCAGGCUCAUGAACCAUCCCCUGAAUUACACAGCUGCUGUUUCCCAAAGCAGUUCACGUGAAGAAUAACUGCUGUUAAAUAGCUGGAAUAGCUGAAACCCAACACUGUGUACUUCUGCAUUAUCGCAGCACACAGCCCUUAUGCAGAAGCAAAGGAGUUCUAGGAAGGAGAGAGAAAAGAGAAAUGGAUGUUUGUCCUUCUCAGCUGUGUACCUCCAUGAUCCGCUCUGCAGACGGAGGUGGGUGCUGACCUGAAUGCAUUUUACGUGUGGGUAGGAAACAAAAGGAGCGGAUGGGUGAGAUGGAUGAGGGAGCAGAAUCCUCGCAGUGGUAAUUGAGGCUCUGCCCCGAUGCAUUGUGAUGUGCUGGGAGGUGCCUGGUAGGCGGCUCAGCUCUCGGCACGCGUCCUCUCCUUCUGUUUGUCUCUGAAGCACGUUCUGUGCUUUCCCUCUGUUCAGGGUUUCUCAAAAGCUGAAUAAAGAGAAGGAAACGUGAGGGCUGGGGGGGCUGCACGUGCGUUAAGACGCUCAGAGAUCAGCCAAGGACGGCUGUGCCUAUGGGAAAGGAGAGCGGCAAAAGCGACACGAAAAGGAACAGCAUUUAAAGCCGAUUUUCACCCAGAAUGCUUCCCUGAUUCUUUCUGACAACCCAGAAAUGGAUUUGCCCAAGAGGCAGCACCAUCCUCAUGGAAGGGAAUGGGCUUAAAUUUGUUUUCCAUGACAACACGGGGAAGUGCCAAGGAUCUGCAUCAGGAAUGGCACUAAGUCAACUCCAAGGAUGAAGUGAGGACAUGGCAGCAUCCAUCUCAACCCUAGAAUCCUAGAAUGGUUAGGAUGGAAGGGUACUUCAAGAUCACAGAAUCCCAGCACAGUUGAAUGGAAAGGGACCUCAAAGCCCCCUCGCCACACUUCUUUCAUGGGCUGGGUCUCCCCCACCAGUUUAGGCCACCCAGACCCCAUUCAUGACCAUGGGCAGCUCCACGGAUGGAGCACCCACACUGCUCAGGUUCAGUCCAGAAUCCCCACGGGAUGAGAAGCUCAGUGCUCAGCCUCAGGUCUGCCCAGGCCUGGCAGCUGUCUGCACCCACUCAGCAUUGCCACUGGGUGAUCUGAGGUAGGAUAACCCCAAACCUCACCCCUAAACCAUGCGAUGAAUCAGCCUUAGUGCUGCUGCCCACAGCUCCAGUCCUUCCCCAUGCAAGGUCUUUGUAGGCAUGGUGGGGAUGGGUUGGCAUUUGGACUUGAUGACUCCAACCCUUAUGAUUCUAUGAAUUAAAGAUCCCAAAUACAGCUUGUCACCUCCCAUAGGAGCAGCUGCUCUUUGCAAUCCCCACACCAGCAGCUAACAUCUCCCCACAGAAAGGUGAGGCAACAAGAAUGUGACGGGGAAGCCACAUCACGAGGAACGUCGGAUCAAAAUGCUUUGCAUGUUCAGACAGCCCAGUGACUCAUCUGUGGUCAUUUUGUGCUGCAUCUGCUGCGGAGAAACCAGAAAACGUUUCAGUUGAUUUAUAUGAUGAAUAAGUCAAGGAAAAACGAGAUGCCAAGUACUGAAAGUGCUUUGCUGUUGAUCAGAUCCCCUCUCUCAGCCUUCUCUCCUCCACAUGCACAGCCCUGGAGCUCUCAGCCUGUCCCUAUCAGGAGGUGCUCCAGGCCCCCACUAUCUCUCCACUGGGCUCUCCCAGCUGUUCCCUGUCUAGAACUGGUGAGCUCAGCACUGGGUCUUUCUGGUCAUGCUCUGUGCAAUGCACCCCAAGGUCCCAUUGGCCUUCCUGGUUCAUGGUCAACCUUGGGUCAACCUAUUGGCUACCAGGACCCACAUGAGCUGGGUUGAAAUAAAGCACUGGGAGGUUUAUCCAGUGGAUUCCUGGUCCAUCUCUAUCUCGUGGUUGCAAGAUGUCUCCAAACAGUGGAGAUGAAACAUCCACAGAGAAGAGAGAAGUGAUAUCGCCCCACUGGAUAAGAGGAAGACACUGACCAAGAUCAUCUCCAUAUCACAAGACAGCCAAGCAAAGCCUCUUCCUCCUCACUUACUUCUCUGUUUCUCAAAGUCUCCUCCUAUGUAGAGCCACACAGAGAAAUCCCACACCAGGUCUCCUAGAAGGUCCCUUCCAAUGGAUAUUCCACGUUUCUAAGACUCCACAAAGCACUAAACAAGAAAGUGAGCCACGUUCACCACCUCAAACCUUCUUCUUCCACACUCCAGACUGGAAUAUCCUGGGGAGAACCCUUGUGCUGCUCCAGCACACGAGGGCUGCAAGGAAUGCAACAAGAGGAACCUGAUUUUAAUGACAAUGGUUGCCAGGGUUACCUUAAUUCCAUCGCAGCUCCCAUAGUCUCCCAACUCCAACUCCACACCACUAAUCAGGAGCCUUGCAUAACAUUAGUGCUGAAUAACCCAAUUUAAACCGAGUGAAAGGCCUGGAUUGUUGCAGGGGUUGUUGACGCAAAAAGGGGGGGGGAAAAAAAGAAAGCAAAACACAAACCUGUUUUGUUCUGGGAAGCUCUUCUGUGUCUGUCACCCUCAUCCUUCCCAAAGCUUUGGGUGAGCCAAAGCCAGAGCGGAGCCGAAACGAAAUGCAUUGCUUCGUUAGGACAAAUAUGGUUCCCUGUAUUUCCUUCUGAAGGAAAAUAAAGCACGGCGACAUGCCUUCAGCUCCCUGCAUCGGGUUCUUCAGCACAAAACCCCAUUUCCUACUACACCUUUUGAUCAGCAAAGCUGAGGAGUGAGGGCUGCGUUCCACCACCUGCAAAUCGCCUUCAAUUAGCACCAGGUAGGAGAAGUGAGGGAGCAUUUCCACGCUGAUAGCCCACACUUGGCUGGGUUGAGGCAGGACACCACUCUAGAAAGAAGACAGAGUUCCCCUCCCACAACUCUUGUAUUGAAGCCGAAUUUGUUCUGCUUGCAUUGUGCUCAUCUGUGCAUUGUUGGAAUGCAUUACAAAGCCAGACAGGGAGCACAGUGCUCUUCA